This is a long non-coding RNA of Felis catus (domestic cat), 488 nucleotides long. RefSeq lists it as uncharacterized. NCBI's taxonomy places the organism in Eukaryota, Metazoa, Chordata, Mammalia, Carnivora, Felidae. The transcript has 3 exons. The record is from RefSeq and is a predicted model, not a curated record.
AAAACAAAAAUCUGUACCUCUUGGAAUUUAUAUUGUAGAUGGGUAAUAAUAAGAGAUAUUAUCUUCUAGUCCAGUGCUCAACUAGGGGUGAUUUUUACCUGUCCCCCCAGAAAUUUGGCAAUUUCUGAGGGCAGUUUUGGUUGUCACAACUGAGGAGAAGGGGUGCUACUGACAUCUGGAUGAUAACAUGUUUGGAGACAAAUGCCUUCUUUCUGCAUCUUCUACGAAGUAAAAGCUGGGCAGCAUAAGAAACCGCCUUCUAUGAAGAACAUCUAUAAAGAACAGCGUUUCAGAUAUCUAUUCCAGAUGUCAUAGCGUUUUCACCAUUGGUGGAAGAAACCAAUUCAACAGAAUGACCUUUCCAUGUGCUGUUGGUUAUGCAGCCCUCCUGUUGAGUAUUUACCUUUGGAAACAAGAAACCUUCGAUUCCUAAAUUCCUCUUUCAUAACAUUAUGAUAUGCCCAAUCAAGUAAAGAUUUAAUGCUGGA